This 439-nucleotide ribosomal RNA is filed under the name uncultured bacterium. Its description in RNAcentral is "partial 16S ribosomal RNA". It matches the Rfam family "Bacterial small subunit ribosomal RNA", at positions 338 to 795 of the family's 1533-position model. The record is from RNAcentral.
CCUACGGGUGGCAGCAGUGGGGAAUAUUGCACAAUGGGGGAAACCCUGAUGCAGCGACGCCGCGUGAGUGAAGAAGUAUCUCGGUACGUAAAGCUCUAUCAGCAGGGAAGAAAAUGACGGUACCUGACUAAGAAGCCCCGGCUAACUACGUGCCAGCAGCCGCGGUAAUACGUAGGGGGCAAGCGUUAUCCGGAUUUACUGGGUGUAAAGGGAGCGUAGACGGCAGCACAAGUCUGGAGUGAAAUCCCGGGGCUCAACCCCGUCGUGCCGUUGAAACUGAUGUUCUUGAGUGGGCGAGAAGUAUGCGGAAUGCGUGGUGUAGCGGUGAAAUGCAUAGAUAUCACGCAGAACUCCGAUUGCGAAGGCAGCAUACCGGCGCCCAACUGACGCUGAAGCACGAAAGCGUGGGUAUCGAACAGGAUUAGAUACCCCAGUAGUC